RNAcentral lists this ribosomal RNA (468 nucleotides) under uncultured bacterium. RNAcentral's name for it is "partial 16S ribosomal RNA". It matches the Rfam family "Bacterial small subunit ribosomal RNA", at positions 28 to 507 of the family's 1533-position model. The record is from RNAcentral.
GGCGAACGCUGGCGGCGUGCUUAACACAUGCAAGUCGAACGGAAAGGCCCUGCUUUUGUGGGGUGCUCGAGUGGCGAACGGGUGAGUAACACGUGAGUAACCUGCCCUUGACUUUGGGAUAACUUCAGGAAACUGGGGCUAAUACCGGAUAGGAGCUCCUGCUGCAUGGUGGGGGUUGGAAAGUUUCUGCGGUUGGGGAUGGACUCGCGGCUUAUCAGCUUGUUGGUGGGGUAGUGGCUUACCAAGGCUUUGACGGGUAGCCGGCCUGAGAGGGUGACCGGCCACAUUGGGACUGAGAUACGGCCCAGACUCCUACGGGAGGCAGCAGUGGGGAAUAUUGCACAAUGGGCGGAAGCCUGAUGCAGCAACGCCGCGUGCGGGAUGACGGCCUUCGGGUUGUAAACCGCUUUCGCCUGUGACGAAGCGUGAGUGACGGUAAUGGGUAAAGAAGCACCGGCUAACUACGUG